This 73-nucleotide transfer RNA is filed under the name Enterococcus faecium. RNAcentral's name for it is "tRNA-Val". It matches the Rfam family "tRNA". Rfam says of the family: Transfer RNA (tRNA) molecules are approximately 80 nucleotides in length. Their secondary structure includes four short double-helical elements and three loops (D, anti-codon, and T loops). Lineage: Bacteria; Bacillati; Bacillota; Bacilli; Lactobacillales; Enterococcaceae. The record is from RNAcentral.
GGAGGUUUAGCUCAGCUGGGAGAGCAUCUGCCUUACAAGCAGAGGGUCAGCGGUUCGAUCCCGWYWACCUGUG